Saccoglossus kowalevskii is the source of this 942-nucleotide long non-coding RNA. The record is from RefSeq and is a predicted model, not a curated record. NCBI's taxonomy places the organism in Eukaryota, Metazoa, Hemichordata, Enteropneusta, Harrimaniidae.
GUUUUUACUCCAAAGCAAGAGUGACAUUUUGUCAACACUUGAUGAAAAGGUUUCUAAAGCAGAUGAAAAAAUUAAAGUCUUGGAGGGCAAUAAAAGUUACCUAGAAAGAAGUGUUAAAGAAAGUGAAGACAAUAUUCGAGAAAUGUUAACACAACGACAAGCAUCAAAAUAACUUUCAUAUGCUGUUUUAGAAUAUUUUUUCAGUUAAUGUCAUUUUUGUAUGUGUAUUUUUCAUAUUUAAAGUAAUUUGCAUCUGUUCACUUACUUUAAAUCCUAAAUAAGAUCUGGUAAUUGCUCACUGAUGCAUUUACAUUUUAUUUGGAAAAAGCCAGGUCUGCUCAAAGACCAUAUUGUAAUUUCAAUUUAUAGAAAAUUCUGUUUUUACUGUAUCGAACUGUGAUCAAGUACAAUUCCACAAAUCGCAUCAACUCGCGCAACCUGUCAUAUCAAUCCCAUAAUGCACUAUAAUUUGGAAUUACAAUAUGCUCUAUGUAAUUAUGAGCUUUGGUCUUAUUUGUGAAAUCGGUGUCAUAGCAUCAUGAAAAAAAAAUUUAAUUAUUCAACAGUUGAUUCUCCAUUAGAUGAGAAUCAAUCAGGCCAGACCCCAAAAACUAUCUUAACCCUUACCCUUGUUGCAGAUUAUCCCCACAAGUCAUGCGAUCAUUUAUCAAUACUAUUUUGAACACUUUAUGGAUGAACUAUGAUUUGUCAUUCAAAUUUUGACAAUUUCUUCAUCAGCUCACAUCUUUUAACAGUACAGGGGUCAUUAUUAUUCUACGCCAUCCUGUUACAUUGGUGUAUGUUAUCAAGAAUGUUAUCUAACGAUAGCCACAUACAUGUACCAUUACUGGCUUUAUCUUAUGUUCUUCCAACAUAUUCUAUGAGACAUACUUGUUGCUCAAUGUUUCUAAUAAAGCUGGAAACGUAAAGUACUAACUUAAA